Molecule: ribosomal RNA, 481 nt
Filed under: uncultured bacterium
Lineage: Bacteria
Description: partial 16S ribosomal RNA
Rfam family: Bacterial small subunit ribosomal RNA
Source: RNAcentral
GAUGAACGCUGGCGGCGUGCUUAACACAUGCAAGUCGAACGAGGCAUUUGCGACAGAUUUUUUCGGAAUGAAGUUGCUUAUGACUGAGUGGCGGACGGGUGAGUAACGCGUGGGUAACCUGCCUUGUACUGGGGGAUAGCAGCUGGAAACGGCUGGUAAUACCGCAUAAGCGCACAAUGUUGCAUGACAUGGUGUGAAAAACUCCGGUGGUAUAAGAUGGACCCGCGUCUGAUUAGCUAGUUGGUGAGAUAACAGCCCACCAAGGCGAUGAUCAGUAGCCGACCUGAGAGGGUGACCGGCCACAUUGGGACUGAGACACGGCCCAGACUCCUACGGGAGGCAGCAGUGGGGAAUAUUGCACAAUGGAGGAAACUCUGAUGCAGCGACGCCGCGUGAGUGAAGAAGUAAUUCGUUAUGUAAAGCUCUAUCAGCAGGGAAGAUAGUGACGGUACCUGACGAAGAAGCUCCGGCUAAAUACGUG